GCCAGACUCCUACGGGAGGCAGCAGUGGGGAAUAUUGGGCAAUGGGCGCAAGCCUGACCCAGCAACGCCGCGUGAAGGAAGAAGGCUUUCGGGUUGUAAACUUCUUUUGUCAGGGAAGAGUAGAAGACGGUACCUGACGAAUAAGCCACGGCUAACUACGUGCCAGCAGCCGCGGUAAUACGUAGGUGGCAAGCGUUGUCCGGAUUUACUGGGUGUAAAGGGCGUGUAGCCGGGCUGACAAGUCAGAUGUGAAAUUCCGGGGCUCAACCCCGGACCUGCAUUUGAAACUGUUGGUCUUGAGUAUCGGAGAGGCAGGCGGAAUUCCUAGUGUAGCGGUGAAAUGCGUAGAUAUUAGGAGGAACACCAGUGGCGAAGGCGGCCUGCUGGACGACAACUGACGGUGAGGCGCGAAAGCGUGGGGAGCAAACAGGAUUAGAUACCCUCGUAC
Molecule: ribosomal RNA, 448 nt
Filed under: uncultured bacterium
Lineage: Bacteria
Description: bacterial SSU rRNA
Rfam family: Bacterial small subunit ribosomal RNA
Source: RNAcentral